This 253-nucleotide ribosomal RNA is filed under the name uncultured bacterium. RNAcentral's name for it is "partial 16S ribosomal RNA". It matches the Rfam family "Bacterial small subunit ribosomal RNA", at positions 524 to 776 of the family's 1533-position model. The record is from RNAcentral.
UACGUAGGGGGCAAGCGUUGUCCGGAUUUACUGGGCGUAAAGAGCGUGUAGGUGGCCAAACAGGUCCGUUGUGAAAACUGGAGGCUCAACCUCCAGACGUCGACGGAAACCGUGUGGCUAGAGUCCGGAAGAGGAGAGUGGAAUUCCUGGUGUAGCGGUGAAAUGCGCAGAUAUCAGGAAGAACACCUAUGGCGAAGGCAGCUCUCUGGGACGGUACUGACGCUGAGACGCGAAAGCGUGGGGAGCGAACAGG